UACGUAGGGUGCAAGCGUUGUCCGGAAUUAUUGGGUGUAAAGAGCUCGUAGGCGGUUUGUCGCGUCUGCUGUGAAAACCCGAGGCUCAACCUCGGGCCUGCAGUGGGUACGGGCAGACUAGAGUGCGGUAGGGGAGACUGGAAUUCCUGGUGUAGCGGUGGAAUGCGCAGAUAUCAGGAGGAACACCGAUGGCGAAGGCAGGUCUCUGGGCCAUUACUGACGCUGAGAAGCGAAAGCAUGGGGAGCGAACAGG
RNAcentral lists this ribosomal RNA (253 nucleotides) under uncultured bacterium. RNAcentral's name for it is "partial 16S ribosomal RNA". It matches the Rfam family "Bacterial small subunit ribosomal RNA", at positions 524 to 776 of the family's 1533-position model. The record is from RNAcentral.